Tachysurus vachellii is the source of this 301-nucleotide small nucleolar RNA. Lineage: Eukaryota; Metazoa; Chordata; Actinopteri; Siluriformes; Bagridae. The record is from RefSeq and is a predicted model, not a curated record.
GCCCAGUGAUGAUACCAAGGCGAAUGUGAGCUCACUGAUUGCAAGUCUGAGUUCUCCUGUGUUCAUUUUGGCUGGUAAUCUUGACAGGGCAGCGGAGAUUUGCUGCUUUGUUGUAAGGGCCAGCCUACAGUCAUCAAGCCCCUUUCCCUCACACUCUUCUCUAAAGUAUGGAGUGAGAGCAUAUGUGAAGGGUGCUGAUAGUGUGUGUGUGUUUGUGUGUGUGUUUGUGGGCACAGGUAGAUUCUCAGAACUUUGCUUUAUUCAGUAGGCAUUGAACUGCAUCUUUGGUAAUCUGAGGGUG